This is a long non-coding RNA of Gallus gallus (chicken), 9972 nucleotides long. RefSeq lists it as uncharacterized. NCBI's taxonomy places the organism in Eukaryota, Metazoa, Chordata, Aves, Galliformes, Phasianidae. The record is from RefSeq and is a predicted model, not a curated record. The transcript is spliced from 3 exons.
GAAUCAGGUGAAGGAUGGUGAGGAGGAAAACUUACAGGCCCUGUUCCAGAAAGCAACAAAACAAGUCUGCGGGGCUGGAGGAGGCUGAGAAGGUCUGAGACUGAGCAGAGAGAGAAUUUGAAGAAUAUGCUGGUACUGUCCACCAUCCUGAACCAAAGGCAUUAAAGCUGGCAGAAAAGAAUAUUAAUGGCGAUGAUAAAACCAUGUCACAGAAACGUGGUGGCUCUGUGGGGCAUAAAUUCAUGCAAAAGCACUUUCUGAAGCUGCUGUAGGCUGACAGUGUGCUCCCCCCACACACACUGCAUCUUUGAUUUCAUCAGCAACAAAAGAACAGCCAGCCGGCUCUGCAAGCAAGGUACACUGAGCGUAACAAACCUGACGAGAGAGUGGCUGGCACAACUAGCACAUCUUUACACCCUUCUUGACAACGCAUGGCUGAAGAGGUACCCUUACUGCUCCUGCUAAGGAACAAAGCACAGCGUGAACUUGGCCUUUACAAGACAUCAGAGACUCUACCCAGCAGCUCCAUCUGAAGGUACACAGCCAUGGUUUCCUUGAUUCAGUUGCUCACUGCAUUCCCUGUUUACUCUCUGGCUAACUUGUAUGUAUGCUCAAGCAAACAAAGUGACAGAAAUAUGUAAUACAAGCAACCUUCCCCAUAGCAACAGAUGGAACAAAGCUGCUUUCUGCAGUGCUUCCUUCCCACAGGCUGGACCCUCCUCUUCCCUGAGGUUUGGGGUACCCCAAUGAAGCAGAAGAGCUGCUGGGCAAAGGGAAAGGGCAAACUUUCUUCCUUACUCUCACUGAGGGCAUCCACCCACAUUUCUCUUCCCAGCUCAGCCACUGAUUUUCAUCACGUUUUUCAGAAGUCAGUCUCAAUUUCUCUCCAGCUUCAGAUUGAACAGAAAUAAGAUGUAUUCAUUUUGUCAGGAGGGGACAGAUGGAUGAACUGACAGGCAAACAGGAAAGCUACAUGGUCCCAGCAGUUUUGUGCUCUUAAGAAACACUAAGGACCUGAGAAGAAGUUCAACCCAGAGAACUGAAAACAGCUCUUUCCUCUGCCCGAAACACUUUGGACGUACAGUUUGCACUGCCUGUAUUUUACUCGUUAUGGUGAGGACUUGAUUCCAAACUGACCUCAAUUUUCACUUAAUUAGCAACCUCGUUUGCAGUUCCUUUGAAACAUUUUUACCUAAUUCCUGGGGAUUUAGCCUCAUUCUGUUUCUCAUUAGAAUGAAACAAGCAUUAUUUUGAGGAAGAUGUUUCCCCUUUUGACAAAUGAUAAGAAAUCACACAAUCCUCCAGAUUUUAAAGAUGAACUAUAGAAAGCCUGGCAAUAGGACCAGGACCCUAAAAAUCUCUGCAUUAAUAAUACCCGACGCACACAGAAGGAGAAGAAUAAAGCAAUACUUCCAGAAGUGCUGGUUUUCUGUUCAGCAAAGAGACUGGUAGCCAGCUGGGAAUUCUCAAACCCCGAUUUUUCCCCACAGACCUCCAGCAAAGAGUGAAAACUUGCAGUGAUUGCAACUUCCUUCUGCUUUUCUUCAGUGAAAGAAGGAGAAAGAUUUGUUCGUAGCGUACAAGAAAUGCUGGGUUAAAAACAGUUUGUUCCUUCAGACCAUGAAAUCAGUGCCUGGGUUCAAACAAAUGCUGGGAUAACAGAGCAUUUCAAAGCAAACUUGCUAGCUUCCUUACCCUAAGACAGACCUUCAGGCUCUGUUUGCAGUUUGGUUAUAUUUGGCUGUGCAGAAAUAGCAGAUACAGGGAGGAGCACGAUGCAGUUUCCAUGUUCCCUCACACCUCUGUGCAGAGGCCAGUGGCUGGUUUUGCAUUACUGGCAUGGAAAGAUGGAAGGCUGUCGCCCUUAGAGUGGCACCGACACCUGCAGGGACACGGGGAAAGGAGAGGGCCAGCAGAUCUGGUUAGAGAAGGCCAGCACUGGCAACAGGCUGAAGGGCACAAACACACUUCAGUCUGUGCUUGGCCAGCAUGCAUGGGACUCAGGCAAUAAGGUUCCUGCAAGCAUUUGAGGAUUAUUUCCCAAUUUCUCUGAGUUUCUCUAUAGACGACAAGUUAACACAGAACAAGUUAUCACCUUGCUCCCAGCAACCAUACACUUGCUUUCUCCACCUAAGCUCAAGAAGAUCCCUGUUCAGCCAAGCCGGCCUUCUGCCCCACCUGCAUGACUUUCAGCCUUUUGGAAUUGCAGGCUCCUGUGUUCUGAGAAGAUGGCACUUAGAAAGCAACCAGCACUGACAGAAAUGCCUUCAACAGCAGUUUCCCAGGGGACCUUACUAACUGUUCCCUGAACAGACUAAAAACUGCUCUCCUCAUAUCCAGGGUUGAGGUUUUGGUGUCAGUUUUUCUUCUAUCACCAAAGAUAUUAAAUUCAACCACUUUACGGUCACUGUGGCCAAGAUGGCCGCCGAUUGCCACUUCACACACCAGAUGCUCACAAACAACAGAUCUAGGAGGGCACUUUUCCUCGUUAUCUCCCUUAGUAUCUUUCCCAGGAAGUUGUCAUCAGUGUGUUUUAGGAAUUUCCUGGACCUGUUUGUGUCAGCUGUGUGGUGUUCCCACUUAGCAUCUGGCAAGUCCCCCUUAAGGGGCUGAAGUCCCCCAUAGGACAAGAGCAGUAAAUCCAGAUGUCUCUCUUACUUCCUUAAAGAAUAUUUCACUGGUGUCAUCAUCCUGGCUGGGUGGUCUGUAGUAGACUCUCACAACAACAUCUCCUUUAUAUGCUACUCCCUUAGCCCUUACCCUGAGGAUCUCAGCCAUGCCAUUGCCAACAGACAGCUCCAUACAUGUAAGCAGUACAUGCAGUAUACACCACGUGCCAAACUGGAGGCUGAGGAGAGGUUUGAAGGACUGGCAACCUGGCCUCUCUGCCUGAGAGAGCAUCAGGAAACCAUGAAGGGGAAAUACCCACAGGAGUCAUUUCUCUCCUUAUCUCCUAUUACUCAGAGUCCAGCCUUGUUCUCCAGCACUUGGAAAGCCCAAGUCCUGAAAGGCCUUGUGAUGACACUUAAAAAAAUACCUCUGCUACAGAAGCCUCUGCAGUGCUAUCAGCCUGAUGGGAUCCCAGAAGAGCAGCCACAGCCACAGCCACCCAGCCUUGGAAGAGUGUCAUCCUAAGAGCCAGCCGAAGAGUUCUCCUACCCAAAAAAGGCUCCAGGUCUGGCACAGGAGAACUACCACUUAAAUACUACUUGGAAAGGGCUUUCUUAAAACGUAAAUUACGGAUACUCUUUGCUGGUUCGAUAAAGAAUGCACCAUUGCAGCCACCACUGUGUCUCUUCUCAAGAUGCUCCAUGGUUUUAUCCAGGGGUGUUUCUCUUUUUAGAAGUUUGGAGUGUGAAUAUUCCGCCUCCACUUGGACAGAGGCGAGCCUAAAAUGAUUUUAUUUGAAUCUUUUUAUUUGGCUUUGACUGACAGGCUUCCUCUGUGCAUUUUGUCAUAGAUCCACAGAUUCACACCAGCAGUAAAUAAUGUAUGGUUCAAUUUUGCAGCAAACUUCCCUCUCACUCACAUCCCCAUGUGGAGCAGCAUGUGCGGAGAUUUGGGACUGAAAAUUCACUUUCCACACUCCAAACUCAUUCACCUGUUUUUCCUGCUGCCACAAGAGGCCAGUGAUUCUAUUAUUUCCAGUCUCCAGUGUUUCACCAGCACUGCACUGACACGGCUCCGCAGGCACAUCUGUUAGACACCAUCUGGAGGCUAAAAAUCAUAACUACAGACUGGUUUCCUGAACCUCCUGAAAGCUGUCACACAGGAGCAGUGCACAGCUUCCUAUUAACUCGAGAUCAAAUCUCAGCCAUCUCUUCCACCACCCUUCACGGAUGUAUCAUUCAUCAGGCAUCUCUGGCUCAGAGGCAGGAACACCCCACACACCUGCACUGACUGCAGACUAUGGAAGUCUCUGUCUUGCCAAAGGAGCUGUUUGAUUGUCACAUCCUCAGAGAUGCUCAGCAUCUAGCAUUUCUCAUUUUCCCUUCUGGGCAGCCUGUAUAAGAAUUCCAUUCCUAUCCCACCCUGGGCACAGAGCUGGUUUAUCUGCUAGCUCAUCGUAUCGAACAGGACGGCAUGUCACAUUGCAGAAAGGUCAGUUCUAAAAGAUUUCUGCAAUCUCUUCUCUCAGCUCUAUGCUACUGAACUUAAGCAAGAUCUACCAAUAGGUUUGCAACAGCAGCGGGAGACCGUGAGGGUCCUAAGAGAGACCUAAUCAUCCUCUGAAAUCAUUUCAGUAAAAUACACUGUGGAGGAAGUCUGCAUGAGCACAAAGAGAAGCAUUAAAUUUUCAUCAGCAUGAGUUCAGGCUGAAUAAAAUCAGGCCUCCCAAAUGCACUGUGAUAAAACAUUUACACUGCACCGCGGUGUUCCUUCCAAAAACAGAAAAGCAUUUAGAAGCAUGGCAUUAGAAAAUUCAGCAUUGCUACGUGAGGUGGAGGCUCUGCGAGGCUUCAACUUUUCCUGACCCCUUCUCCUCCCAUAGGAAAGAAAGAAAUACGGACACCACAAGGGCUGGGCAAGACUAUGGGGGCGGGAAGGGGCAGGAGAUACAGGCUCAAGAAAGGAAAGGGAAGGGCAUUUGUGAUGCUGCCAAUGCCAGAAUGUACCCCGUCCUUCUGUGCUUCUUACUUCUCAGCAAAGCAGAGAGAGUGCUAUAAAAAGAUCCAGAAACACGAACCCACAUGAGCAGCGCUCACUGCAAGAGCACCGCUGGCAUCCAUCGCUCGCUGGAAGGGCCCCCAAGGAACCACCAGAUUAGAUAAAAUGCACCAGAUUAGAUUAGGUGCAAGGAUCUUUCUAAAUUAUCGAGAACAUUUUGAAAAGAAUCAGCAUUUUUAAUCUAUCCUGAAGAAACAUGUCAUCUGCGACCUUACAUCUCCAGCACUUGUUAUUGGACUCCUGAAAUUCAGUGAAUAAAACAGAACCAAGGCCGCAUUCCAACGAAGGAUUUUAAGGACAUGACCAUUUCCUUUAGUUUCAAAGUAAAAAUUCAGCCUGUUAGCCCAUCUGUUUGGUGAGCAGGAAGUCGAGCUGGAGUGGUGUUUAUGUGCUCCAUGGCUACAUAACAAUUAACAAUAAAUAGCUCUGAGCCUUUGACGUCUGAAAGUUGAAGAAAUUGCAAAAAAAAUUAAUGUAUCUGAUAGGGAUGCAGCAUAAAAUUGCUGUAUUUUAAGGCAGCUGUAUGGAGCCUGUUUGCUUGAAUGGAUGUUGUUUUAGUGGUAUUUUCUGCGUAAGCUCUUAAUGUUGAGGUUCCGGGCCCAAUAGUGGUUACGUGCUCACUAUGGUGUCCUUUGCUGUUGCAACACUGUUCACAGUUAAAUAUAACUACAGUGGACAAAAUGCCAGCAAAAUAUAAGCUUUCAUGCUCAGAAGCUGUUUUACAUCGGGAAAAAGAAGAUGGCACUGAUUUGUUGGUGGGGAGAAGAAGAAGAACAGGGCCCUAGACCUGAUUCCUACCAACCUUACCCUGGGUAUAACCAUUUAGAUCUAUGCAAAGGGAAAACCAAAGAGCUGUAAGAUAUCUUCUGGAUCAAAACAGCAGCGGAUCACACUUUGCACAGAGGCAAGCGGGACACGAAUCCUUCAUGCAUUCAGUUGCCUCCCACCUUUGCAUGCAUUAGCAUGACGGAGAAAAAGCAUAUUAACAUCUUCUUUCUUCUUGCUUCGCUGUUUCAGAGAAGACACAAUACAGAUGUAUCAGAAUCCCAAGCUGGACUGUAUUCAUACACAAAAUAUAUAGCAUAACAAAGCAGUACAACUUCUUCUGGGAAACAGAUGUACCUUGUGAUAUUUAUUCUAAUGUAUUUGAAGGGAAGAGAUGGGGAGAGCUAUUGGUAUGUAUAGCAGGUACUGACUGAUAUUUAAUACCUUUGGCAUUCCCAUAUGAGCCUGGAAAUAACUGCCACUGCUAUUAGUUGCUGUCACUGAUGACAGCAUGUAAAUGACUAUCUAAUCUGCAUAUACAAUUGAGUAAUUAGAUGCCAUAUGUAAGAGCAGUUAUUUAUAGGUGCAGAAUCAGAGCCCAGUCCUUGUAACGUAUUAUCUCACAAGCCAGAUCCUCUUGGACACGGGUACAGACCUUUAUUACUGAGUGCCUCAUCUUAGAUUUUAUUUUUUUUUUUUAAUAUCACAAUUAAUAAUUCAUGCUAUCGAUUUUCCACUGUGGAGCACUGAAUCAGCCCUGCCUGCAUCUGACCUGCUGACGGGAAGCUAGAGCUGCUGUCUGCAAAACGCCUGUCAACGUAAGGGGCUGCUUGUGCACAAAAGCAGCCAGGAAACCAAGCGGGUCCCGCUGAAGGCCCAUCCUGCUCAGUGAGGGCUCGAUCUGUUCUUAUGAACAGCUGACCUAGAUUCUCUGCCUGAAUGAAAGUCUUAUCCAGCAUUGAGGCUGUUCAGAGAGCCAGAAAUUCAUGUACCGUACAUUGAGAGAGGGGAAAAACAGUGGAUACGUUAAGGGAAAGCAGCAGCAUCAGGCGGGCCGUCCUGUCAGCAGCCACCCCCUGCCCCCCUCCCCCUCCUCCCUGAGACCCCCAGAGGAGCCGUGGAGAUGAGAAUCUCACAUCUAAUUAACCACCUCUCCAAUCAGAUCUGGUUCAACAACUGCGAACAUCACGAGGCAAUUUGGUUUCCCUCACCACCUCAUUUUUUCACGCCGCUAACAUGCAAACUGGGUCAGUAUUAUUCCUACUGAAACGCUCACCACGGGUGUUAUUUUUAGAAAGCCAUGUGAUCGUCUGACUUUUAUUUAUGAAAGCACCGAAAGAUCCACUGUCUGUUUUCCUGUCUGUCAUAUUUGGGGCGGUUUGCUGUUUCAGUUCUCUGGGUUUGUUGCUGAAAUCUGUGGCCUCUUUUUAAAAGGCAGAGUCAGACUAAAUCAGGAGGCCUUGCAGUUCACACGCCUUAGCAGGCUCUGCAACAAAGCACAUGCGGCACGAGCAAAGCAAACCAGACAAGUGCACUGAGAGGCUAUGAAAGGCAAGGCAGGGAUGCAGGCAGCGAGAGACAAGGAGAUGGAGCAGAAAUAGGAGGUCUUUUGUGCCAACCUACUGAUUGCUUUACCAGCCAACCUUGCAAUCCCAUAUUAAUUGGCACUGCUUCUAUCACGUUCCCUUGAAUCCUUUAUUAAUCAAGUCUGUAUCGGCUGUCUAGCUGUAUCUGAGAUCAAUCACCAAAUUGCCCCGCUGUCCUGUUAAUACUUUUAAAAAUGAUUCUCCAGAUCUGCACAAUUUAAAAGCGUCUCAAGGCAUUUAAAAUGCCUGGCUCAACAGCCAAGAAACCUGGUUAGUCUUCCUAAAAUCGCUGAUGUCAUCUAUUAUUAUUGCUAAUUUAAGGCAUCUGGCUUUAGCAGGCAUUAUUUAGCACAUCCUGGACUGCUGUAAGGUGAAGAGGAUUGUAGUGCAUUGCUAUAAGCCUCUGUUCUCUGGGUGUUUUUUUAAUGCAUUGGCACAGCUGCCCAGGGAGGUGGGGGAGUCACUGUCCCUGGAGGUGCUCAACAGCCAUGGAGAUGUGGCACUGAGGGACAUGGUCAGUGGGCAUGGUGGCAUGGGUUGGGGUUGGACUGGGUGAGCUUAGAGGUCUUUGGCACCCUUAAUCACUCUAUGAUUCCGUGAGUCUACGAUUUUUCUCUCAUUAAUAAAUAUGAAAUUUUAUUUAACACUUUUGGUUUUGUUUUUUCCCCUGCAGUAUUGAAAUGUCUAUUGACAGUUCCCAUCUGGUGAUGGUAUCUGGAAACAUUAUCAUUUCUCAGAGCUAAUCUAAUAUACUUUGACCAUUACCCUUACUGCUCCUAAUUCUAUGGACCAAAUACUUAUUUGCAGGUCUUUUGGUCUGCUUUGCCUUACUGACCUUUUGCACUUUUGGCAAUUGCUUUAUAUUCAUUACUUACAUCUUUCUUUUUUUUUCCCCUGUGCUUUAUGAGUAAGAAUUUGCCUUUGCUUUAUUUUUUGUUACUGCUUUCACUCCACGUAGCUUGACUGAAUUUAAAUCAGCACAGCCCUCCCUGAGCUUUGUUGCUUUUUGAUCAUAAACUAAAACAUUCUGAGUCAGCUCUUGCUUUUCAUGCCUAUUUACACUUUAAGGUCUUCCUGUCACCUGAAUCAUCUCAAACAUGUUUUCAUCAUCAGGAAAACAGCUAAUUAAAAUAUCAAGACUAUGCAGUCCUGUGCACUGGCCUUUGUUCACAUGUAGCUUGUUUACAUGCUGUAACCAUAAUAAGCACCUGCAUCUAUGUGACCACCAUACUUCAGCGCCUCUUCAUCAGCCUAAAGUAAUACCACGCAGAAAAGGUUAUGACACGUUUGAAACUAGGAAAUUCCUGUGUAUACCUUUUUAGAACUCUCCAGGUCAAUUUAGCACUAGCAGCUGCUCAGAUGGGAAGCUUCCAUGGCAGGGACACCACAGACAUGGCAGUCCAAGGGCUGGCACUUUGCUCUGCAGAGACUUGCAGAGACAGGUACCAAUCACUGCGCCUUCUUGCAUUAUAUGUUGGACCAUUCAUCCACAAGAACUCAAAACUACUGUCUCCCUUGGAAGCAAAAAUCAUGCAAAUUUUCAUAGAAUCAUAGAAUCAAUAAGGUUGGAAAAGUUCUCAAAGAUCAUCCAGUCCACCCAUCCAUCUGCCACCAAUACUGCCCACAAAACGAUAGCCCUAAUUCUGAACUUUUCUCAUGCCUCCCUACUGUUACCUCCAGUGACAUUUACAUUGGCAUUAAACAAAACUUCCCACCACACUACAGGAGUACAGCUAGCUGUAGUGAACAAAUUGAGCUCUUCCUGAUCCUUUCCUGUUUGUGAAGCCCAACUCCUCACAAAAGCUUACAGAUAAUGAAAUUAUGUUCUCUUCCAGGGUCCUCAGUUCAUUUUGUCCUCCUCUCACUGGAUUUUGCUCUAAACAAGCGGCCAUUUGUUACAUCUUUCCACUUUUCCUUCUUAAUUUUUAAUAAUAAAAGAGAAGACAAGAACUUCUGAUAUUUUUCACUGUUAGAUUCCAGAAAUCAACAUCAAUUGUUACUAUUUGCCCAUUUCUUCCCCAACCAGCAGCAUCAGCCCUUUCUCUUCACUGUCAGGACAGGGACUUAGAAGAACUAUGUGGUGUUUGGAAUGAAAGCGAGGGGAAUCAGGCAGCUAUUUCUAUCACCAGGAUGUCUCCAACACCGAGUUCAAAAUUAAAGCUCUGAAUUUCCCCAGAUUCUCUAAGUGAGGAAUCAUCAUGCAACAACCAGUCUGCACGUACGCCUACAAAGCAGAAACCACAUGAUGAAUAUAGCCAACAGAGUACUGCAAGCCCCACAGUUAGACACUUCCACCAACACGCUGCGUACGCUCAAAUUUGGAAAAACUGCUUUCAUCUGUCCUUUCUAAUUCAUCCCAAGCUCUAGAGCUUGCAUCAUAGGCGGCCUGCCUUCCUGAGCUAGCUGGCAGUACUGUGUUGGUGACUCCUCCAAAAAGAAACAACUUCAAAAGAAAAGAUGUAGGAUGAAAGAUGAAUGGGCCAGAUCCAAUUCAAAUUCUAAACUACAAAUAACAUUUCCUUCUCAAGUAAAGGCCAAGCUUUCACGGAGCAUUAGGCAUGCACUGUGGAUAAGGUUGCACAAGCUGCGCCCUCCACGCGAUGAAUGAGAAAAUGCAGACAUCUGGCUAUGCCAUCCUGAGCACAGCACAGCUUGGGAACUCAGAUCUGUGUUUCAGGAGUGGUGAGUAAGAAUCACAUGCAGGACGCUCCGGGGUGUUUUAAGAACAUGGGACAUACCCUGUGAACUUGCUGAAACAGCCUGGCCGGCACAAGCUGGCUGGUUGGCUGUCCAUGCAUCACUCUGUGAUGCCACAUCAUUCUAACACUAAACCCAGGAAAACCAAUGGGUUUGGAUAAAAAUCAUAACGAUGACCUCUUUUACCUCAGGCUUUCCAUUCCUUUUCCCUACGCUCUCACAUAAGACUCACAUAUGGGUCACUUCCACUACCUAU